RNAcentral lists this ribosomal RNA (884 nucleotides) under uncultured Bacillota bacterium. RNAcentral describes it as "bacterial SSU rRNA". It matches the Rfam family "Bacterial small subunit ribosomal RNA", at positions 58 to 917 of the family's 1533-position model. The record is from RNAcentral. Lineage: Bacteria; Bacillati; Bacillota.
CAAGUCGAACGCGAAAGUUCCCUUCGGGGAACAAGUAGAGUGGCGCACGGGUGAGUAACACGUAGGUAAUCUACCUUUGGAUUGGGAAUAACACCGAGAAAUCGGUGCUAAUACCGAAUAAUGCAGCGGCACCUAAUGGUGACAGUUGUUAAAGCGGGGGAUCGCAAGACCUCGCGUCUAAAGAGGAGCCUGCGGCGGAUUAGCUAGUUGGUAAGGUAACGGCUUACCAAGGCGAUGAUCCGUAGCCGGCCUGAGAGGGCGGUCGGCCACACUGACACUGACAUACGGGUCAGACUCCUACGGGAGGCAGCAGUCGGGAAUUUUGGGCAAUGGGCGAAAGCCUGACCCAGCAACGCCGCGUGAAGGAUGAAAUCCCUCGGGAUGUAAACUUCGCAAGAACGGGAAGAAUAAGUCGGUGCUAACACCAUCGGCGAUGACGGUACUGUUUGUAAGCUCCGGCUAACUCCGUGCCAGCAGCCGCGGUAAUACGGGGGGAGCAAGCGUUGUUCGGAUUUACUGGGCGUAAAGGGCGCGUAGGCGGCCACCGCAAGUCGACUGUGAAAUCUCCGGGCUUAACUCGGAAAGGUCAGCCGAUACUGCGGGGCUAGAGUGCAGAAGGGGCAACUGGAAUUCUCGGUGUAGCGGUGAAAUGCGUAGAUAUCGAGAGGAACACCUGCGGCGAAGGCGGGUUGCUGGGCUGACACUGACGCUGAUUGUGCGAAAGCUAGGGGAGCGAACGGGAUUAGAUACCCCGGUAGUCCUAGCCUUAAACGAUGAAUGCUUGGUGUCUGGGGUUUUAUAGUCCCCGGGUGCCGUCGCUAACGCUUUAAGCAUUCCGCCUGGGGAGUACGGUCGCAAGACUGAAACUCAAAGGAAUUGACGGG